GGUCAUUUUUAAAAGUGGUGAAGAUAGUAACGCUCUCCGAGCCGGAAUAACGAAGUCUGUUUAUAAACGGAGUCUUUGGAAUUAAUUUUUCCUAAAAUACUUGCAGGCACACCUAUUUAAUUCGCGUAACCGGAGAAAAGUGGUGGAAUAACAAGCGUGGAACAGCGUGCAAGAUUAUCUUUUAUUUCGUUUCCUUUCAUAAAUCACGAAUGCUGCGAGUAUACUGCAGACUUCGGAAUUGCGCAACAUAAACGGAAUAAAUUAUUAAUGACAAAGUAGCUGUACCGAUCACAGUUGGGAAAUGAAUCGUAGGAAAAGAGGUUGAUUCAACAACUAUUCUACACCUAUAACCAG
Nomia melanderi (Alkali bee) is the source of this 354-nucleotide long non-coding RNA. RefSeq lists it as uncharacterized. The record is from RefSeq and is a predicted model, not a curated record. NCBI's taxonomy places the organism in Eukaryota, Metazoa, Arthropoda, Insecta, Hymenoptera, Halictidae.